UACGGAGGAUCCGAGCGUUAUCCGGAUUUAUUGGGUUUAAAGGGAGCGUAGGUGGAUUGUUAAGUCAGUUGUGAAAGUUUGCGGCUCAACCGUAAAAUUGCAGUUGAAACUGGCAGUCUUGAGUACAGUAGAGGUGGGCGGAAUUCGUGGUGUAGCGGUGAAAUGCUUAGAUAUCACGAAGAACUCCGGUUGCGAAGGCAGCUCACUGAACUGCAACUGACACUGAGGCUCGAAAGUGUGGGUAUCAAACAGG
RNAcentral lists this ribosomal RNA (253 nucleotides) under uncultured bacterium. RNAcentral's name for it is "partial 16S ribosomal RNA". It matches the Rfam family "Bacterial small subunit ribosomal RNA", at positions 524 to 776 of the family's 1533-position model. The record is from RNAcentral.